AUGAUGUCGCGGUCGUAUACCAACCUGCUCGAUCUCGCCGAGGGCAACUUCGCCGCGCUCGGCCCGGCCGGCGGCGGGGCGCGGCGGAGGUCGGGCUCGUUCGGGAUGAAGCGGAUGUCGCGGGUCAUGACGGUGCCGGGGACGCUGUCGGAGCUCGACGGGGAGGACGAGUCGGAGCCGGCCGCCACCAACAGCGUCGCCUCCGACGUGCCCUCCUCGGUGUCGGGCGAGCGCCUGCUCGUCGUCUCCAACCAGCUCCCAAUCCUCGCGCGCCGCCGCCCCGACGGCCGCGGCUGGUCCUUCUCCUGGGACGACGACUCGCUGCUCCUCCAGCUCCGCGACGGCAUUCCCGACGAGAUGGAGGUGCUCUUCGUCGGCGGCGUGCGCGCCGACAUCCCCCUCGCCGAGCAGGACGAGGUCUCGCAGGCGCUGUACGACCGCUUCCGCUGCGUCGCGGUGUUCCUCCCCGAGUCCCUCCACGACCGCUUCUACCACAGCUUCUGCAAGCGCCAGCUCUGGCCUCUCUUCCACUACAUGCUCCCCUUCGCCUCCUCCGCGUCCACAGCAACCUCCUCCUCCUCCUCCUCAUCGUCGGCUCCCCCGGCUGGCAACGGCCGCUUCGACCGCGGCUCGUGGGAGGCAUACGUGCUCGCCAACAAGUUCUUCUUCGAGAAGGUCGUGGAGGUCAUCAACCCGGAGGACGACUAUGUGUGGGUCCACGACUACCACCUCAUGGCGCUUCCCACCUUCCUCCGCCGCCGCUUCAACCGCCUCCGCAUCGGCUUCUUCCUCCACAGCCCAUUCCCCUCGUCGGAGAUCUACCGCACCCUGCCUGUCCGCGAGGAGAUCCUAAAGGCGCUGCUCAAUUGUGAUCUCAUUGGCUUCCACACUUUCGAUUACGCCAGGCAUUUCCUCUCAUGCUGCAGUAGGAUGCUGGGAAUCGAAUACCAGUCCAAGCGUGGGUACAUUGGAUUGGAGUACUUUGGCCGCACUGUUGGGAUCAAAAUCAUGCCAGUGGGAAUUCAUAUGGAUCAGUUGCAGGCGGUUCUGUGCUUGCCGGACAGGCAGUGGAGAGUUUCCGAGCUGCAGCAGCAGUUUGAGGGGAAGACUGUGUUGCUCGGUGUGGAUGAUAUGGACAUCUUUAAAGGGAUCAAUCUGAAGCUUCUUGCCUUUGAGAAUAUGCUGAGGACGCACCCCAAGUGGCAGGGACGAGCAGUGUUGGUGCAGAUUGCAAAGCCAGUCCGUGGGAAGGGUAAAGAUCUGGAAGCCAUCGAAGCUGAGAUUCGUGAGAGCUACAAUAGGAUCAAUGGAGAGUUUGGCCGGUCCGGGUACAGCCCUGUUGUUUUUAUUGAUAGGGAUGUGUCUAGUGUGGAGAAGAGUGCCUACUAUACGAUCGCGGAAUGUGUGGUAGUGACCGCAGUAAGGGAUGGGAUGAACUUGACACCAUAUGAAUACAUCGUCUGUAGGCAGGGGACACCUAGGUCGGAGUCCUCAUCGGAGGUGACUGGGCCGAAGAAGAGCAUGCUCGUGGUGUCAGAGUUCAUUGGGUGCUCACCGUCUUUGAGUGGUGCUAUUCGGGUUAACCCAUGGAAUGUAGAGGCAACUGCAGAGGCGAUGAAUGAGGCCAUUUCAAUGUCUGAUCAGGAGAAGCAGCUGAGGCACGAGAAGCACUACCGUUAUGUCAGCACUCAUGAUGUUGCUUAUUGGUCGAAGAGCUUCAUCCAGGACUUGGAGAGGGCUUGCAAGGACCAUUUUAGAAGGACAUGCUGGGGCAUUGGAUUGGGAUUUGGUUUCAGGGUGGUGGCCUUAGACCCUCAUUUCACAAAGCUUAACAUGGAUUCUAUUGUUAUGGCUUACGAGAGGUCAGAGAGCAGAGCUAUAUUUCUUGAUUAUGAUGGAACAUUGGUGCCUCAGACUUCCAUCAACAAGACACCUAGUGCAGAAGUUCUGAGGAUUAUCAAUACCCUCUGCUCAGAUGAAAGGAACAUAGUUUUUAUUGUCAGCGGGAGAGGCAGGGAUAAAUUGGGCGAAUGGUUUUCCUCGUGUCCGAAGCUGGGUAUUGCAGCUGAACAUGGCUACUUCUUAAGGUGGAGUAGAGAUGAAGAGUGGCAAACGUGCGCCCAGGCUUCGGACUUCGGAUGGAUGGAAAUGGCUGAACCAGUGAUGAAUUUGUAUACAGAAUCAACUGAUGGAUCCUACAUUGAGACCAAGGAAAGUGCUUUGGUGUGGCACCAUCAGGAUGCUGACCCAGGCUUUGGAUCCUCACAGGCCAAAGAGAUGCUUGAUCACCUGGAGAGUGUACUGGCAAAUGAACCAGUCUCUGUCAAGAGUGGCCAGUUUAUUGUUGAAGUCAAACCUCAGGGAGUAAGCAAGGGAGUAAUAGCUGAAAAGAUACUGAUAUCAAUGAAAGAGAGAGGAAAGCAGGCCGACUUUGUAUUGUGUAUUGGUGAUGAUAGGUCUGACGAAGACAUGUUUGAAAACAUUGCGGACAUAAUCAAAAGGGGCAUGGUUGCCCCCAAAACACCAUUGUUUGCAUGCACUGUGGGACAAAAACCAAGCAAAGCAAAAUUCUACCUGGAUGAUACGUUUGAAGUGGCCACCAUGCUGAGCGCACUGGCGGAGGCAACAGAUCCUGAGCCUAUGACUGGCUACACCGAUGAGUUAGCUACGUCUAUGUCCUCAAUUGAUAUUGGUGGUGAACAAAGUCAGUCAAGGGGUAGACCUUUCGAUGGAUUGUAG
Molecule: ribosomal RNA, 2739 nt
Filed under: Triticum aestivum (bread wheat)
Lineage: Eukaryota; Viridiplantae; Streptophyta; Magnoliopsida; Poales; Poaceae
Description: partial small subunit ribosomal RNA
Source: RNAcentral